RNAcentral lists this ribosomal RNA (253 nucleotides) under uncultured prokaryote. RNAcentral's name for it is "partial 16S ribosomal RNA". It matches the Rfam family "Bacterial small subunit ribosomal RNA", at positions 524 to 776 of the family's 1533-position model. The record is from RNAcentral.
UACGUAGGGGGCCAGCGUUGCUCGGAAUUACUGGGCGUAAAGGGUUCGUAGGUGGUGCGGCAAGUUGGAAGUGAAAUCUCUGGGCUUAACCCAGAGGCUGCUUUCAAAACUGCCGCGCUCGAGUGCGAGAGAGGUCAGUGGAAUUGCAGGUGUAGCGGUGAAAUGCGUAGAUAUCAGGAGGAACACCGGUGGUGUAGACGGCUUUCUGGACCGUAACUGACGCUGAGACACGAAAGCGUGGGUAGCAAACAGG